This 63-nucleotide transfer RNA is filed under the name Flavobacteriia bacterium. RNAcentral's name for it is "tRNA-Asp". It matches the Rfam family "tRNA", at positions 7 to 64 of the family's 71-position model. Rfam says of the family: Transfer RNA (tRNA) molecules are approximately 80 nucleotides in length. Their secondary structure includes four short double-helical elements and three loops (D, anti-codon, and T loops). Further hydrogen bonds mediate the characteristic L-shaped molecular structure. tRNAs have two regions of fundamental functional importance: the anti-codon, which is responsible for specific mRNA codon recognition, and the 3' end, to which the tRNAs corresponding amino acid is attached (by aminoacyl-tRNA synthetases). tRNAs cope with the degeneracy of the genetic code in two manners: having more than one tRNA (with a specific anti-codon) for a particular amino acid; and 'wobble' base-pairing, i.e. permitting non-standard base-pairing at the 3rd anti-codon position. Lineage: Bacteria; Pseudomonadati; Bacteroidota; Flavobacteriia. The record is from RNAcentral.
GUAGUUCAGUUGGUUAGAAUACAUGCCUGUCACGCAUGGGGUCGCGGGUUCGAGUCCCGUCCA